Molecule: non-coding RNA, 1001 nt
Organism: Macaca mulatta (Rhesus monkey)
Lineage: Eukaryota; Metazoa; Chordata; Mammalia; Primates; Cercopithecidae
Source: RefSeq, a predicted model, not a curated record
GCAGGCCACCUUUUGCAGGCCCAGCCCAGGUUUGGAACAAGGCUUCCUCUGCAAAAGCUGGAUGCUGUGAGCUCUGUCAGCUGCAUCGCUCUACCCCACACCUGCCUGGGUCUCCGGAGUGCAUACUCUAUUUGGGAGCAAUGCCUGCCUUGAACUCUAACAGUAUUUUGUCAGCAUCUUUCCCCAAAGACUAAACUCUACAGCCUAUAUCAGGUGUCAGCCACCAGAGAAAGCCAAGAAAUGGAGAAAUCGAGAAACUUGGCAACACACCCACUAAAGUCCAAGCUUUUAUAACAGCACAAUACAGAAACAAAAAGGAUAGCUUUGGGGAAUGUCAACCUCUCCAAGGGCCGGUUGGAAAGAAUGAGAGUCCUGCAAAUGCAACCUGAGAAAAUGUGUUCCUCGCACGGAAAUGGAAGAGCUGUGUUGAGACACCAGGGACACACGCAGGGCAUCUGCGCGAGGUGACAUUAGGUUGCCCUUAAUGAGUUUUCUGCUUCUGACAACGGGGUGUCACUUUUUUUCUUCUUUUCUUUUAACUGCAAAAGGAUCCUGGGGUGAAAAUGAGUGAAUAAUCGCCCCCACACUCCUAGAUUCCUUCCGGCAGAAGAGGGCGGACGCAGGCUGGGGAGGCGGGAUCGGGACCAGGAGGCCCAGAAACGGGUGGCUGAGGUCAAGGCCCAGGACCUGGACGCCCACUCCCAGUGCCGGGUGCCCGGGAGAGGAAGACUGGGCGGACCCCCGCGCUCCCACAGGAGGGGGACUUAGGUCAAUGCAGGAAACAUCGCAUGUCAGCUCCUUCCACUCGGAGAGCCCGGGUGUCUUCCUGAGAGCUGGCAGGAAAGCGGCCGAGGCGCAGAGGCUCCCGGAGGCAGCCGCCCCGGCCGUGUCCCCACCGGGCUGCGGGAGCUGCGGGGCGGCCCUUACCUGGUUCCUGCGGUACCAGGCGCCCGAGAGGGAGCCGUUGCCGACGCCUGGCGCCCCGUACGUGAAAUUCAGUG